AGUGAACGCUAGUGGCGUGCUUAACACAUGCAAGUCGAACGGACGAUAUUUGUGCUUGCACAAAUAAAGUUAGUGGCAAACGGGUGAGUAAUACAUGAGAAUUUUCCUUGCAGUACGGAAUAACUAUUGGAAACAGUAGCUAAUACCGUAUAUUGCCGAGAGGUGAAAGAUUUAUCGCUGCAAGAUAAGCCCAUGCAAGAUUAGCUUGUUGGUGAGGUAACGGCUCACCAAGGCUUCGAUAGAUAGGGGUUCUGAGAGGAAUAUCCCCCACACUGGUACUGAGACACGGACCAGACUCCUACGGGAGGCAGCAGUGAGGAAUAUUGGACAAUGGGCGCAAGCCUGAUCCAGCCAUGCCGCGUGCAGGAAGAAAGCCCUAUGGGUUGUAAACUGCUUUUAUUCACGAGGAAUAAAUCUCUUGCGAGGGAUUUUGACGUUAGUGUUUGAAUAAGCACCGGCUAACUCCGUGCCAGCCGCCGCCGUAACAC
This 488-nucleotide ribosomal RNA is filed under the name uncultured bacterium. Its description in RNAcentral is "bacterial SSU rRNA". It matches the Rfam family "Bacterial small subunit ribosomal RNA", at positions 29 to 526 of the family's 1533-position model. The record is from RNAcentral.